RNAcentral lists this ribosomal RNA (2653 nucleotides) under Triticum aestivum (bread wheat). RNAcentral describes it as "partial small subunit ribosomal RNA". Lineage: Eukaryota; Viridiplantae; Streptophyta; Magnoliopsida; Poales; Poaceae. The record is from RNAcentral.
CCCAGAGUCUUCUUUACUUCUCCGUUCUUCUUUCCCGUAAUUAUUUCACACAGUGAGAAUGUUUGUCUUUGCUGAGAUCCCCUUUCUCCUAUCCUUAUUCUCUCAGCUCACCCACAAAUUGCUGCUACCGGACAGAUCCAAUCAGCUUGCUUUCUUUACUCGCUGCAUUGAGGUUGCUCGUCCUCCACCUGAAUCCACUCCGCUGCUGGUUCUGCUACAGGUUUAGCAUCGACGGCAGCUGGUUUGGCUGCUCGUACGCCUCAUCGGUCUCUUGUAAAUGGCGAUGGAGGGGUAGCAGCGCUCAAGGAUUAGCUGCGCCAGGGAGAUAGUGAGAUCGACUUGGUAAUGGAUUUCAUCUCCCGCGGGCUCGCAGUCCUCUUGGAUCCAGCUUUAGUAUGAGGAUGCUGACGGCAUUUUCUUCCCCAAGAGCACAAGCCAGAAGCAUCAUCUAUAUAUCCACUCGAGGCAGCUCGGCACUUCACAGCAACAUUAUUCGAAGUUCAACCUGCAGGUAGUUGCUUUGCAUGCUAUCGCAACUCAGAUGGAGCUGGUGGCAUCAGGACAUGAAGCCGCUAUCGAAUUUAAGGUUGAUCAGAUAUGAAAACCAUAUAAUGCAUCAUACAUAUUUCUCUAUAUCAUAGCAAGCAAUCCCAUUUGUUUAUGUUACAGUUGUAGUAUGGUUCUAGUCUUCUAGAGUAUGUAUUAUCCUAAUGUGAAUACAUUGGAACCAACAUCCACGCAUCAACCUUCUCUGGAUGAGUAAAAGUAUGAACCCAGACAUAUAGAAUUGCAUUACUUAAUAUCGAAUACACAUGAUAGUUUUUUCUAUUUGUAGAUUAUCAACCUUUUGAGCUAACAUUUCAAACCUUUUUGAUGAGCACUUCUUAGAGCAUAACUGAUGUAUUAUUGAUCCAUUAAUAGGUCUGAUUAUUGUACAUAAUCAACCUUCUGAACUAACAUGGCAAAUCUUUUUAGAUGAGCAAUCCCUAGAGCAUAAUUGAGGUUUUAUUGGUCCAUUAAUAGUUCCGAUCUAUAAUUUCGUGAAGAUUGUACCUAGAGGUGGUUUGAUUGCUCGACGGAGCCGGCUGGUGCCUGCUGGAGGAAGACAAUGAAGUUGACCUCGAAGAACAUGAGAUUUUGGUUGUAUGUGGACUCUAAAGAGAUAUUCUUCUAUUUGGAGAGACUGAAUCUCUGUACAUUGUUUGUGAGAUUUUGGAUUUGUUUGGAGAGUUUUGUACAAGUUCAUGUUUUUUUGUGUGGGAGGAUCAUGAGAGUUUGUUCAUGUUAUGGUUGCCGAGAGAAUAUAACCUGUAGGCACUAUUUUUAAGGAGGUCUAGUCACUCGUGCUAUUGUCCAGCCUGUUUAGAUCGGGAGAUUGAGUAUAAGGGAUCUCACGGAAGAGUUUCCAUCUCUAUGUUUUUUUGGGUAUUUUUUGGUCGCUCAUGGCCUCCUGGGAUAGUCCAGCCUUUGUACCUAUUGUGAUCUCACGGCACGGGCCCAUCUGGUUUAUGUAGAUCUAAUGGCUAUUCUCUGUUAAUCGGAAAUAGACACACCGAAUUAAAUGUCGGAUGUUUCUAAUUAUAGUGGGAUUUUUAAGCUAAUUAUCUUUAUUCUGAUAAGCCCGUCAAAUACUUUUUAGAUAUAAUAGAUGAUAGACUAUUGCUUUGAAUCACUUGUGUCUUAAUAUUCAUGCUAUACUUAGAUACAUGAUCAAGAUUAUGCUAGGUAGCAUUCCACAUCAAAAAUUAUCUUUUUUUUAUCAUUUACCUACUCAAGGACGAGCAGGAAUUAAGCUUGGGGAUGCUGAUACGUUUCCGUCGUAUCUAUAAUUUUUAAUUGUUUCAUGCUAAUAUUAUUCAACUUUCAUAUACUUUUGGAAACCUUUUAUACUAUUUUUUUGGACUAACAUAUUGAUCCAGUGCCUAGUGCCAGUUCCUGUUUGUUGCAUGUUUUAUAUUUUGCAGAAACCCAAUAUCGAACGGAGUUCAAACGGGAUAAAAACGGGCAGAGAAUUAUUUUGAAAUAUUUGUGAUUUUUGGGAGGAAGAAUCAACGCGAGACGGUGCCCGAGGUGGCAACAAGGGUAGCCCACGCCACCACUCCAGGUGGGCGCGCCCCCCACCCUCAUGGGCCCCUUGUAAGGAGGUUGGUGCUCUACUUUGGCCGCAAGAAAAGCUAAUUUUUGAAAAAAUAUCUGGGCAAAGGUUUCAAUCCAUUCGGAGUUACGGAUCUCCAGAUAUAAAAGAAACGGUGCCAGGGCAGAAUCCGAGAAUGCAGAAACGGAGAGACAGAGAGAUAGAUCCAAUCUCGGAGGGGCUCUCGCGCCCUCCCAAGCCAUGGGAGCCAAGGACCCGAGGGGAAACCCUUCUCCGAUCUAGGGAGAAGGUCAAGGAAGAAGAAGAAGAAGGGGGGCUCUCUCCCCCUUGCUUCCGGUGGUGCCGGAACGCCGUCGGGGGCCAUCAUCAUCACCGUGAUCUUCACCAACACCCCCGCCAUCUUCACCAACAUCUCCAUCAUCUUCCCCCAUCUAUAUUCAGCGGCCCACUCUCCCAUAACCCGCUGUACCCUCUACUUGAACAUGGUGCUUUAUACUUCAUAUUAUUAUCCAACGAUGUGUUGCCAUCCUAUGAUGUCUGAGUAGAUUUUCAUUGUCC